RNAcentral lists this long non-coding RNA (2480 nucleotides) under Coffea arabica (coffee). RNAcentral describes it as "long non-coding RNA (CARA_LNC002408)". Lineage: Eukaryota; Viridiplantae; Streptophyta; Magnoliopsida; Gentianales; Rubiaceae. The record is from RNAcentral.
GAAAUGGGCGAUGAACAGAAGAGUUCUAAAGGACUUUGAGGUUGCAUUCUUGGUUUCCUCAUCCUUGGUUUAAUGUAUUAUGCAUAUGCUUUUCACUUCUAAUAAUGAUCUAUUGAGGCAGAUAAAUUGCUCAGCUGGCUUUUGCACUUGAGGAAUAAUCUCAGAUUUUUCAUUACCGUAAGAAAACCAAUUUCUUCUUUCCCAGCAAACAUACGAGCACUUCUGAGCUCCAAGUUUUGCUUUCGAACGGGGAAUCCUAAAGCACUGUUGGCGUUUUGAUGUAGUGGUGGAUGAUUUAACCUGAGCUAGUCAUACUGGAGAACACACCUUCUUUUCUACAUCACGUCCUCUUUGCUAAAGUAUCAUGGAAUUCUCAUUAAGUUCUCCACUAAGAGAUUGCAUCAGCAAUGUCUUCCUCAUUUGCAGACCAUAUGCUUUGUUUAAUCAUAAAACACACUCAAUUUCCAUAAUGACACUGCAAGAUCUUUAGCCUUUCUUUGCUAAUACUCUGGUAUCAAACUGCUUUUCAGCCCACAUGGACGACUGCUAUUGAUUGCAUUGUUCUCUUUGUUUACCUGCUGACUAAUUCUGAAUUCUGUUGGUUUGCUGUACUAGUUUCUUAAUUCAAUUUGAUUGGCAAAAGUUAAUAACAAGUUGCCUCGUUACUGCUUUGACAUAGCAAUAAUGUGUGCCUCAGAGACACAAAGGCGUAGUCUGUGGGCUCUCCUUAGUCCUUUCUCCCCCCCGCACUCAAGAAAAAGGUAUCUUCCCUUGAACAAUGGAAAGCCGAUGAUUUUGUCCGUGCUUGAUGCGAAUCUACUAAAAACUAGGGGUGGUGGAGCUCUGUGGUUCCUCUUCAUGAUUACAUCAUGUUAGAAUAAUCUGCUAGAGAGAACAGUAAAAGUGACUCUUUUAAGUUUGAGCAACACAAUUGAAAGUAGGGAUGGCAAUAGGGUGAGGUUAGGAGCAGGGACAGUUCUCUCACCUCAUAUUUAAACCCUUGCUUCCAGUACCCUGCCUCCUCCCCAUAGCUUCAUGUGUGCCCUGCGAUUGGCUAAUUAUAGUUUUAUUUUUUAUUUUGACAUUAUUUAUCUACGUGUGUAACAUCAAUAACAAUUUUGUAAAUCAUUCUUUUAGAUUUUUGGCAAAAUAUUCAAUGUGAGCUUUCUAAUCAUUUUGAUCUUUUGAAUUCAUUUCUUCACAUUUAGUUGCAAAUCUAAACUUAUAACUAUCAUAUUUAUUUUUAUUUUUUUGGUGAAUAACUUGCAAUAUGUGAAAAGAUUCAAGUAAACUAGAAAUAGUUAAAUCAUCAUUUCAUCAUGCAAAUUAUGAUAUUUUUAGUUAUAAAAUUAUUAUGUAUAUGCCUAUAUUAUUGAUGUGUAAUAACAAUACACGCGCGCGCGCACACACAUAUAUAUAUAUAUAUGUGUAUGUAUAAAACUAUAUAUAAAUAUUUUUUUUAAAAAAAAAUUUAUUAUACCCCGCUCCAUCCCUGCCCCAUUUGAAACGGGGAAAAAAAAUUUCCCCCCACCCGACCCAUUACUUCCCCGCGAGACAGGCACCCCCUAAUUGAAAGUGAAGGCACUGCAGUAAGAAAAGUUUCUCUGCACAAGUGGCCAAUGGCAUAUUUAUUACUACUAAUCAAUAGGGUCAUACUCAUACAUAUAAGUUGCAAAUGUACAGGGCUAUCCACUCAACAGUUUUUAGUAGUACAGCACAUACAACUUGUACUUUGGGUCAUUCCAUUCACAAGUCCUAACGAAACCAAUUUUAUGACAUAAUGCUAUGUAUAUGGUCCUUUGCACGAUGUAGUAGUAUUCAAACUAUGCAAGGUGUUUUUGGAAUUAGUUAGUGGUAUUGAUUUUAGCAAAUUCCAGUGCUUUCUUCCCCUGCAGCUUGUUGGUUACAUAGUUCUUGCUGUACUCUCCAUGGUUGUAUCUUCUGUACUUGCAGGGCUCGUUCUCAUCCACCAGUUCUGGCAUUGGUCCAACUUCUAGAUCAUAACUAGGUGCAUAAAAUGUGACAAUUGAGAGUCUGUCUUUUUCUUUGUGAGUGACUGCUCUGUGUUCUACACUCUUGUAUCUGCCAUUUGUUAGAACCUGUUUAAUUACAAAAGAAUGGCACAUUAGAUUUGUAAAUCAAUAAGUAAAACUAAAAGAAAAGGACAUGAUAUGAUCACAAUCUUUUACCUCUAUGGUGUCACCAAUAUUGAUCACUAAUGCAUUGGGAAUUGGCUGGACAGGUACCCAGGUAUUGUCUUUGAAUAUCUGAAGGCCAACUGAACUGCCCUUUCCUUGUUGCAACACUGUAAGGGCACUUCCAUCUGAAUGAGGACUCAAACCCAAAACAAGAUCAGGUCUAGGGCAUGCUGGAUAAUAGUUCAUUCUCACUGCUUGUACAGCUGCUCCGAACAUGUCUUCGAAGACAUUCUCAUCCAGAGAUAGACCGAUGGCUAUGUACUUUAGCAAAUUCUUGCAUAG